GAUGAACGCUGGCGGCGUGCCUAAUACAUGCAAGUCGAGCGAACAGACGAGGAGCUUGCUCCUCUGACGUUAGCGGCGGACGGGUGAGUAACACGUGGAUAACCUACCUAUAAGACUGGGAUAACUUCGGGAAACCGGAGCUAAUACCGGAUAAUAUAUUGAACCGCAUGGUUCAAUAGUGAAAGACGGUUUUGCUGUCACUUAUAGAUGGAUCCGCGCCGCAUUAGCUAGUUGGUAAGGUAACGGCUUACCAAGGCAACGAUGCGUAGCCGACCUGAGAGGGGGAACGGCCACACUGGAACUGAGACACGGUCCAGACUCCUACGGGAGGCAGCAGUAGGGAAGCUUCCGCAAUGGGCGAAAGCUUGACGGAGCAACGCCGCGUGAGUGAUGAAGGUCUUCGGAUCGUAAAACUCUGUUAUUAGGGAAGAACAAAUGUGUAAGUAACUAUGCACGUCUUGACGGUACCUAAUCAGAAAGCCACGGCUAACUACGU
RNAcentral lists this ribosomal RNA (496 nucleotides) under uncultured bacterium. Its description in RNAcentral is "partial 16S ribosomal RNA". It matches the Rfam family "Bacterial small subunit ribosomal RNA", at positions 28 to 506 of the family's 1533-position model. The record is from RNAcentral.